ACAGUUGAGUGAAUCCAUGAGCUCAGCAGUGCGUUGAUAUACGGUGAGGCUCUGCCUAGCUGACUGUGCCUUUUCGGGACAAUCGCAGGAUUGUUACACGGCCUCUUCCAGAACAGAUUCCCAGACCAUAAAUGUCGCACACAGUGGCCCAGCGGAGCGUUUUCACACUCAAACAGAAGUUACAAUCCUUACGAGUCUGAGUCGCGCAAAGAUGCCAGGAGCGAAAGGUAACAAGCCGGACAAAAAAUCUGCCACAAAGCAACAGCAGAGCAACAAAGAUCAAACAAAAAAGAGCGAUCAAAAGGGAGAUGAUAACAAAAAGCAAGGAGGACAGCCGAAGGGAGAGAAGCAGUAACUUCCAGGCUUUCAUCAAAAUUGCUUUGGAAACAUUGCUUGGAAAAUGUCGACGUAAAUCUGUCAGUCCAUGGUACAGAUGAACCCACUUCUUCCCACUUAUCUCUCCAAGUCUUACUUUUUUUCUAUCUACUCUCUUUAUCUCUGAAAAUAAAUUUUAUGCAUACAUGCUAGGAAAA
This is a long non-coding RNA of Erpetoichthys calabaricus (reedfish), 533 nucleotides long. RefSeq lists it as uncharacterized. The record is from RefSeq and is a predicted model, not a curated record. NCBI's taxonomy places the organism in Eukaryota, Metazoa, Chordata, Cladistia, Polypteriformes, Polypteridae. The transcript is spliced from 4 exons.